Molecule: long non-coding RNA, 427 nt
Organism: Athalia rosae (coleseed sawfly)
Lineage: Eukaryota; Metazoa; Arthropoda; Insecta; Hymenoptera; Athaliidae
Exons: 4
Source: RefSeq, a predicted model, not a curated record
AUUCAAAAUGGACCCCGUCGCCGGAUUGAACAUGAAUCAAAUUGGCAGAGCAGAUGUUAAUUUAAAAGGGUUAAUUAAUAGUAUAUUCGGACAAAUGAAGAUUAUUUAUACAGCAGUGCAUUGAGAAUAGCUUGAAAAUCAGCGGCAUGACACUGCGAGUACAUCACGUUAUUUUGCGAAUGCUCAACCUCUACUCUAACGAUUGUAUGACAGCUCCCAGACGAUUGCACCAGAUGAGAUUCCUAUGCGUGCUGACACUUAAUUAUACAAUUAGUAAAGGACGUGAAAGAUUCUCCAGAAUAUUCCAGGACGCUUUUCCUACGUGAAAAAGCGUAUCAAACAAGAAACCGUCAAUCAAAUUGAGCUAGCAUUCGGAUUCCUGAGAUCAAAGUACAUGAGGAUAGCGUACGGCACCCUUCAAAAAAAA